CGGAAAUGAUAAUCUAUGCGGAAGCGACAAAUGUUACACCCCUUGGUUGGUCUCAGUGUGAAGGCUGUUGUGGACAGACCGUUUGCAGAUACUUACGAAAUUAGUCUGCUGGACAACGGGGAAGUACGACCCUUACCGCCACCGUUCACCUUUGUGCCUCUGACGUCACCGAUAAACCGCGUCACCCCAACACGAGCGGAUCAGUGGGGUCGUUCAGCGAUGACCUCCUGAUGAAAGACGAGCUGGCGCCGGGUCGGGUCACGGAUCUCAAGGUCAUGAAGACGCAGGAUGAUGACAACACUGUGGUCCUGGCGUGGACGGCCCCGGCGAAGACUUUGACCACAACACUGCGUCCAGAUACGAAAUAAAGAUGGCGUCAACCGCUGCGGACCUGUUGGGAAAAAUCACCACCUCGCGCUACAUUACCCAGGAUGGCGUACACGCGGACCUUUUGGGAAAACUCACCACCUCGCGCUACAUUACCCAGGAUGGCGUCACACGCGGACCUGUUGAGAAAACUCACCACCUCGCGGUAAAUUACCCAGGAUGGCGUCACACGCUUCAUCCCGCACUACGUCGACCCAGAAUUCUUAGAAAUUGUCCAACUUCCGGUAACAACGGAAGUGACCGUGUCGGGCAGACAAAAGGUCAUUAUUGCGGAAGUGGUGGGGUUGUUUACAGGACUGCUCGUGAUUGUGAUAGUUAUCUCCCUUGUUCUACACGUGUGUUCUCGCAAAUCAAGGCCAUGCAAAGUGACAAGAAACACCUUAGUUUCACGGUGUAAUUACUGUUUAAUUAACGUAGCAGAUACAUUGGAAUGAACAAUCUAUAUAGAAACCUUAUAGAGCAAUACGGUUUAUAUAACAUAUACUCAAUAACGAAAGGUUAAAAAUAUCUUUUAUGACGUCUAAAUUUAUCAUGGUUGAAUAAACGUAAAAGAAAACCAGGUCCUCUUGUUGUGUUAAGCCACAGGUUGAUGAGUUUAU
Long non-coding RNA from Gigantopelta aegis, 986 nucleotides. RefSeq lists it as uncharacterized. The transcript has 3 exons. The record is from RefSeq and is a predicted model, not a curated record. Lineage: Eukaryota; Metazoa; Mollusca; Gastropoda; Neomphalida; Peltospiridae.